This 1197-nucleotide ribosomal RNA is filed under the name Triticum aestivum (bread wheat). RNAcentral's name for it is "partial small subunit ribosomal RNA". The record is from RNAcentral. Lineage: Eukaryota; Viridiplantae; Streptophyta; Magnoliopsida; Poales; Poaceae.
AUGGUUCCUCCUGCACCUCCUCAAGGCAUGGAGCUGAACACUAGCAGCAACAAAAGAAAUAUAUUGGAGGAACCUCCUGAAAAACAGGUAUCCAUUGGACAUAAGGCAGUACAAUCCACAGCAAACUGCUUUGCGUCAACUGACAACGCUAAUCUCCGCAUCCAGAUACCUCCAACAUCAACCGUGCAACUAGAAUCUCCACUUGGAGCUGUGCAAAAUUCAGACUACGGAAAUCCGGACAAAACGAAAACACCAAAACCAAGUUUACGUGCACCAGGACUGCCAGCUGUUAUUGGACGACUCAAUUUGAGUGAUGGCAGCUGCACCUCAACACGUCGUGAGCUUCAGUUCAGUAUUGCAAACAACCUAGAUGGCCAAAACGAUCCAGCUGAUCCAGUACAGAUCCCAUCUCCCAAAUGUCCCCGUACACCUUUCCAUUUCCGUUCCCAGAGCCAGAGUGAUACUAUAAGCGGAUCAAUUGGAUGGUCAAGUAAGCGAUCCCGAAUAGAUGUGGCAAGAAAGCUGGACUACAAGAAACACAAAACAUCACGUAUUUCAGAUGUCAUGCAACAAAUGGCUACUCCACAAGAACCAACAGCUCCAACUAUACCAUCCGCAUCUUCCAACUCCAAUUUCCAAGGCGAUAUAACUCCAGCAGCAGGCAUAGACUGUAGCAAACUCCAAGAGAAACAUGUGGAACUCAAGGCAUACAGCCAACGACGGGCAAAACAUACUACCCAAACCCAUAGUAAACAGCAACCUUCAGGUGACAAUGUAUUGUACUCUAGUGCUCUCGGUAUGCAUGUGGCAUCCAUGGAGUCAAGUUAUGGACACAAGACAAGCAGCACUGUUGAUGAAAUGAUCCUCACACAUUCAGAUUAUCGGACUUCCAACACACUCGCUGCGCCAAAAUGGGAUUCAAGUCCAACAUAUGCUCUGGGUGGCAGCUCAUCAGGCAUGGACCUCCUAGCAGCAGUUGCAUCAGGUAGCUAUGAUAGCAGCAUAGACCGUUUUGCACAUAAGAUCAACAGAAGCAUAUUUUCAUCUUCUAGCACGCGGCUGCCUCCAACAUCUGAAGCCGACGGAUCACCCUCAGAGAAAACCCACAAACCUGCUCGUGCACCAUUUCAAAGGUUAUCAGUAGAUGAGCCUGAUGUCUCUGACGUCUACACAACAUAUGAUACAAUACAGAAAUGA